GUGAUAAAGAUACAAGCAUCAAGAUAAUUAGUCAUAUUGGAUGUUGACCACAUCAUCAUACAAAAUACCAGUGAGUUGUUUCAUUAUGGACAUUUUUGUAUCGUCUUUAUUAAUCCUUGUGUUUUUCAUACAGGUUAAUUUGUGUUGCAUCAAAUAAUCAAGACAAUGAGCAUGAGAAUGAGCUUAGAGAUAAAAUCCAGUACAUGUGUAAGAUAUUUGUUUCAUACAUAUACAUAUCUUUCUAAAUUGUGCUUAAUUGUUUCUAUGUUGUUUAAUGUUGCUUCAUAAAUUGGGUAUCACUCUCAAUAUGUAACAAAACAAUUAUAUAAUUUUCCAGGUGAUAAGUCAAUGAUAAAAAAAGGGUACAUGCAUUUUACAUAAGAGAUACACGGCACCUUCAAACUGAUGUACAAAACAAUUAAUAUUAAACUACUUAUUUCGUUUUACUUCUGUCAUUAGUUAUUGGUUUUUAAAACUUAUGUCAUUUAUUUCAAGGUUUCUCAUUUGUUUAAACUGGUAUCAUUUAUUUCAAGGUUUGUCACGGUGAUACAAAUAAAUUACAUCAACAGCUUACUCAUUAAAUUCUUUUUCUGUGAUUCUGAAAAAUUCUAGUUGCAAAAUUCUCACAAACUAAGUGUUGAAAAAUGAGAAAUGGAAAA
RNAcentral lists this long non-coding RNA (659 nucleotides) under Lathyrus oleraceus (garden pea). RNAcentral's name for it is "Pisum sativum (pea) long non-coding RNA (PSAT_LNC040205)". Lineage: Eukaryota; Viridiplantae; Streptophyta; Magnoliopsida; Fabales; Fabaceae. The record is from RNAcentral.